Long non-coding RNA from Sander lucioperca (pikeperch), 295 nucleotides. RefSeq lists it as uncharacterized. The transcript has 2 exons. Lineage: Eukaryota; Metazoa; Chordata; Actinopteri; Perciformes; Percidae. The record is from RefSeq and is a predicted model, not a curated record.
ACAAGCACACACAACAGCUUGUUGUUGACAGAUUGAGACAAUGUGUUCUUCCUGGUGUUAAAGUUAAACUGGUAGUUCUUCAGAAGUCUAAGAACCUUUCUGAUCUCAUCAGAUCACAGUUUGAUUUAAAGUCAGCUUCUUCAUCACUCUGAAGAGGAGAUCUCAACUCUUCAGGAGGACCAGGAGACCUGGAGAUGGCUCACAGACCAAGAAGAGACUUCCCUCCUCAUCUCUCUGAAUUAAUGGACAAACUUAAAGAACAUGCAGCUUCAUUCAUCAGAGAGUUUGACAGCAG